AAGCAGAGGGGGCUUAGUGGUGGGGUGACUGCGUACCUUUUGUAUAAUGGGUCAGCGACUUAUAUUCUGUAGCAAGGUUAACCGAAUAGGGGAGCCGGAGGGAAACCGAGUCUUAACCGGGCGUUAAGUUGCAGGGUAUAGACCCGAAACCCGGUGAUCUAGCCAUGGGCAGGUUGAAGGUUGGGUAACACUAACUGGAGGACCGAACCGACUAAUGUUGAAAAAUUAGCGGAUGACCUGUGGCUGGGGGUGAAAGGCCAAUCAAACCGGGAGAUAGCUGGUUCUCCCCGAAAGCUAUUUAGGUAGCGCCUCGUGAAUUCAUCUCCGGGGGUAGAGCACUGUUUCGGCUAGGGGGCCAUCCCGGCUUACCAACCCGAUGCAAACUGCGAAUACCGGAGAAUGUUAUCACGGGAGACACACGGCGGGUGCUAACGUCCGUCGUGAAGAGGGAAACAACCCAGACCGCCAGCUAAGGUCCCAAAGUCAUGGUUAAGUGGGAAACGAUGUGGGAAGGCCCAGACAGCCAGGAUGUUGGCUUAGAAGCAGCCAUCAUUUAAAGAAAGCGUAAUAGCUCACUGGUCGAGUCGGCCUGCGCGGAAGAUGUAACGGGGCUAAACCAUGCACCGAAGCUGCGGCAGCGAACGUAUCACUUAAAGCGAUUCAGCGGGUUACGAUUGACGGAGCGAAGCGACGUCAAAGCGUAUACAAAGUCGAGUCGGUUUAAG
Molecule: ribosomal RNA, 725 nt
Filed under: Salmonella enterica
Lineage: Bacteria; Pseudomonadati; Pseudomonadota; Gammaproteobacteria; Enterobacterales; Enterobacteriaceae
Also listed under: 1 other name
Description: partial 23S ribosomal RNA
Rfam family: Bacterial large subunit ribosomal RNA
Source: RNAcentral